UUUCCAUAGGUGAACCUGCGGAAGGAUCAUUGUCGUGACCCUGACCAAAAGAGACCGCGCAUGCAUCAUCCAAUCCGCCGGUGAUGGCACCCUCCGUCGCUCGGCCAAGUCCUCGACCGGCUCCCCUCCUCGGAGUGGGGGCUCGGGGUAAAAGAAACCACGGCGCCGAAGGCGUCAAGGAACACUGUGCCUAACCCGGGGGCAUGGCUAGCUUGCUAGUCGUCCCGCGUGUUGUAAAGCUAUUUAAUCCACACGACUCUCGGCAACGGAUAUCUCGGCUCUC
Molecule: unclassified non-coding RNA, 283 nt
Filed under: root metagenome
Description: partial contains small subunit ribosomal RNA, internal transcribed spacer 1, and 5.8S ribosomal RNA
Source: RNAcentral